Molecule: ribosomal RNA, 430 nt
Filed under: uncultured bacterium
Lineage: Bacteria
Description: partial 16S ribosomal RNA
Rfam family: Bacterial small subunit ribosomal RNA
Source: RNAcentral
AACGAACGCUGGCGGCAGGCCUAACACAUGCAAGUCGAACGCCCCGCAAGGGGAUUGGCAGACGGGUGAGUAACACGUGGGAACCUUCCCUAUAGUACGGAAUAGCCCAGGGAAACUUGGAGUAAUACCGUAUACGCCCGAAAGGGGAAAGAAUUUCGCUAUAGGAUGGGCCCGCGUAGGAUUAGCUAGUUGGUGAGGUAAUGGCUCACCAAGGCGACGAUCCUUAGCUGGUUUGAGAGAACGACCAGCCACACUGGGACUGAGACACGGCCCAGACUCCUACGGGAGGCAGCAGUGGGGAAUAUUGGACAAUGGGCGCAAGCCUGAUCCAGCCAUGCCGCGUGAGUGAUGAAGGCCUUAGGGUUGUAAAGCUCUUUUGGCGGGGACGAUAAUGACGGUACCCGCAGAAUAAGUCCCGGCUAACUUCGUG